UCAAAAUGUUCCCCUUCCCUCACUCCUUCCCUUCCUCAUUUUUAUUUCAAUAUCUCACUGAAAGGAUUAGCAUUAACUGAUGUUGGGAUUAUGUCUUCCUGGGUUCUCUGUCUUAGUUGGUUAUUGCUAGGACCUUUCAUGAAGAGGACACUACGCUCUGAAAGCCCUAAUAUCUGCACCAAUGCAGAAAUAAGUCUGCUCUGUCAUUGAGCCUGUCAGGGGUUGAACUGAAGUUAGCCGAAUGAUCCCUGUCAAUAUUAAAGUGUGCUUUGUGGCUAAACACCCCCCUUCUCCCCGCAAUGAAAAUGUAUCCAUUAGCCACCUGUGUGCAUACACAAUCAGGCCCUCUGAAGCCAUUUUCAUAUUGCCCAUAGGAGGCAUGCAGGGCUAGAACAGUCAAAGGCUCAUUACCAAGUCCACAGUGAUGUACUGAGAUGCUGACUGUGACACAUUGAAUGAGUUGGGCAUCAGGAAGAUAAUUCUGGUCACCACAUUAUUAACAAUGGAUGUCACUCAUCCUAGACCCAUAUUUAUCUCUGUUCCACACAGGCUUGUGUAUUCUUACUGCUUCUUAUUGUAAUUUUACAUCAGAAUGUAAGCAGAAGCAAAUUAAAAAUGAUGGGAAACCAAUAAAACCUGGGGGAGGGGAACACAUCCUCACAUCUCCCAGUGGUGGCAUUUAUGCAAAAGAAACGCUAAUUUGCAACUGUGGUUAUGGAAAGCUGCACAUACUGUAUAUUAAAGAACUAUAGCUCAUCAGUUUCAGCUUCCUCCUUUAUAGCUCUAUGCUGUGGCCUUCAUUAUGUAACUUUGUUAAGCAUCCUAAAGGCCAGCAUUUCACAUCUGGGUCUUAGCAAGCUAUCAGAUAUGAGGCGGCGGCUGUCUACCUUGGAGAAAACAAGCUAGUUCAUGUAAAUCUCUUGGGGAUUAGUGAUGGAGUGGGGAACACAGAUUGAGGGCAGGGCAGUUUAAUAAAACCAAAUAUGCAACAGCAUGUUUUAAAGUGUGCCUGGGUGUGGCAGGGUAUUUUGAUUACAUGACACCAAUUCUUGGUCACAUCAGAUCUCUUACACUUUUGCAUCAACAUUUGCUGAAAUAGAGUGUUAAUUUUCUUACCACCUAAUUUGAGUUUCAUUAUGUGACAGAAAUAGCUUUUCUAUUCUGCUUUUCUUCUACUGAAGUGAUUGAAAAAAUUAGUUACUACUAUAACUUUCUUUUUUUAAAAAAGCUCCCUAUAUUCCACAUUUCUAUGGCAACAGAAUCUCAGAGGAAUGCUUCUUCCCUCCUGCCCCCUACAGCCCUAGGAAAGCAUGUAGCUCCAGGGAGGAGUUGGGACCCAGGCAGGGCCGGGCUCAGACUCUUCUAGGGCUAUCACUCAUUUUAAUGAGAGACCAGAAAGAGACAUCACCUUUUGUAGUGGUCCGGGCUUAAAUUCAGCCUGCAGGGCUGAAGCCCUGAGCCCCAAAAGGUGAAAAUCUUGACUGCUCCACUGCUUCAGUUUUUUUUUUAAUUUUCAAUCCAAAAUGAAUGAUAUUUAGCAAGAAAGUCCUAAAGGUGCCAAACAGCUUCAGAUUGUAUAACAAUUGAUAUUAACAUUUACUUUACCACUUUACGCAAUAUGUCACAGUUAUUCUCUCUUCGGCCGAAAUCAAAAUUUAAUAUACAGAUACAAAAUUACAACGUUUUUUGGAGAUAUGUUUUAUUAAAGAAUCAGAUAAUUCUCAGACAUCUGGCAGCACUGCAGACUGCUCCCACCCUUGUGCCAAGGUUAGGUGAGUAUGUACUCGCGUAGAUUAGUUAGAUUAGUAUGUGUUGAUACUUCUUUUGUAAGGGUUGAUCAACGAGACCCACUGAAUGCUGCGAUUACGGAAAAGUGUGACGCAAGAUGCAACAUUUAAGAUAUCACAAACAGAUCAUAACAAGAAACAUUUGGAUGCGAUAACAGCACAAGAAGAUUUGGCCAUGGCUUCAACAAAAAAGUCAAAUCUGCUCCCCAGGAUUGAUAGCCGAUUUACAGAAAAGGAUCUCAAUGAAUUUUGAAUUUGAAAAGCCCAAAUUUGGGCUUUUGGGAAAAGCAAAGAAGAAAUCGGCAAUGUGCAAGGUGGAAAAGGAAGUGAAUGGCAAGCUCAAACCAUAUAGCUUCAAGACAAGUGAAGCAAGUACCAUGAAAAGUUUCAACCUUUGGCAGCAUGUAAAACAUAACCAUCCUGAAAACUAUGCGGCUCUGGUUACAAAAAAGGACCAGGAAGAUGAGGCGAAACAGAAAGCUGACACGGCUAAAUGACGUUCAUCUGGCUCUUUGAAAACUCCUGGAGAAAAAUUUUUUUGCGGAGCUUCAUCUGAAAAGAAACCCAAAAUUGAGCAAACAAAACUUGACUCUAUUUGAAGUCCUCAAAGGUUACGGUCACCAUGGAUGCCAAUACUUUCCGUGAAGGGCUGAUGGAAAUGUUUUUUUUGAGUUCAACACUGCUCACUACCUUCAGGCUAAAGAACAAAGGAUUCCAAAAAAUUGCAGGUGAAAUGGGUUGGCAGCUUGGUGUUUCAACAGGGCACAAUGUGGUUUGUCAUUUAGUUGUCAGCACAGCUGAGUCUGGUCGCAAAGAGCUCAAGAAAGCUUUGGAGCAAAAAUUGUGCUGAAAAUGAACGCGGCAACCCGUGGAAACAGAAAUUUCCUUGCAAUCAAUCCUCAGUACUACGAAGAAGGAAAAGAUAAAGCUGUGGUAAAAACCUUGGACAUAAUCGACACUGAAGUGACACAAUUCUUCGUACGUGAAAAAUCAAGUAAACGCUAUUUUAGAAAAAUUUGGGAUCAGUGAAAUGCAAGUGCUGAGCAUCUGUGUUGACAAUGCAGCAAACAUGACGUGUGUCAUCAAAAAUUUCAGCGAGGACAAUGAAACCAUUUCUACCUCUGAGAACAGGGAUGUGGACAGAACUGAAGCUAUUUUGCCUGAUGAAGGAACUAAAGGAAUGGAUGAAAUUGAACUCAACAUGGAUACUGCUGCGCAAUGGGUUAAUGAUCCUAGCCUCAUACUUCCAACAUGGCUUCAUGAGGACGACUCAAAAGUCCAACUGAUGAGGUGUGGUAUUCACACUCUUCAGUUGGCAAUCUGGGAUGGACUGAACAAAGAAUAUGUGAAGAAAUUUCUGGUAAAAAUUCGACAAGUCGUUGUCAAACUAUGAACCCCAAGUAUUCAAAGUGUUCUGCUUGAUCUACAUGGGGUAACUCAAUCAUUGGAUACUGUGACUUUCUGGGGUUCAACAUUUGCGAUGAUUGAUCAACUUCUCGUUUUUCAAUCUGACUGAACAAGUGACUGUGAACAAGAGAACUCAAGUUAACAAAAGCUGAAUGAGACUAAGUGAAGAACCUGCAAGAUCUCUUGGCAAAGCCAAAUCAAACAACUGUGAAUCUUCAAGCUGUCAAUGUAACCCUGGGAGUUUUAAUGAAGGAAUGGCGAAAACUGUCAAAAUUCUUGCAAGAAAAUGGUGGACAAAUUGCAGAAGGAAUUCUAUCCUCCAUGCAGAAACGUGAAGAGAAGCUUUUUGACAAUAUUAAUUUCCUGGCUGGAGUUUAUGUUGACCCACAGUAUCAGAUUUUUCUUACCUCAAAGGAAAUACCAAAGGCAAAGGAAGGGCUCCUUGAUAUUGCUUGAUGACUCGAAAAACAAAAUCUAUUGCUACAUUUGAACUCGGUGAAAGAGGUUGAAGAAAAUGAAACAACAAAAGGAGUCAUCAAAAAUCAAAUAUGCGGUUUCAGAAAGUUCACAUACUUCAGAAAUAGCAGGGUGUUCUCAAACUUUCGUCUCCACUCUGAACUUGUUUGAGUGUCCAUCCCUGAGACGUCUUCAACCACCACAGGGAAAUGGAAAGAAAUCAAGCACCAAUUCUUCAGGAGAUGACGCCUUCGAAAAGGAAUUGGAUAAACAAGAAAGACACCGGCAAGUUUCUACGAUUCAUAAUUGUAAUGAAGCAUUAUUCGAGAGAAACUUUCGGGAAGAUUGUGAGGCAAUGGAGACUAUUGGUAGGCUAAAAGUUAAGUCUGUUUUUGAGGCCAUUCACAGCUACCCACCCUGCAUUCAGGCUGCCUGUAGAAUUGUUUCGAGCAUGCCAACAACUCAAGCUAGUGUAGAACGACUGUUUUCGGUUUUCAAGUUCGUUUUAAACGAUUUGCGGCAGGCUAUGAAAGAUGACUUGAUUGCUGCAAUAAUUUUUUACAGAAUUAAUCAUGAAUGAUUCUAGUUUGUAUAAUUGUUGCUGACAUUUAAAUUGUUUUAAAAGUCUGAAUAAAAAUAAUGUUUUUUCAAAAUUA
Long non-coding RNA from Dermochelys coriacea (leatherback sea turtle), 4306 nucleotides. RefSeq lists it as uncharacterized. Lineage: Eukaryota; Metazoa; Chordata; Testudines; Dermochelyidae. The record is from RefSeq and is a predicted model, not a curated record. The transcript has 2 exons.